This 495-nucleotide ribosomal RNA is filed under the name uncultured bacterium. RNAcentral's name for it is "partial 16S ribosomal RNA". It matches the Rfam family "Bacterial small subunit ribosomal RNA", at positions 28 to 507 of the family's 1533-position model. The record is from RNAcentral.
GACGAACGCUGGCGGCGUGCCUAAUACAUGCAAGUAGAACGCUCGAGGAGGAGCUUGCUUCUCUGGAUGAGUUGCGAACGGGUGAGUAACGCGUAGGGAACCUGCCUGGUAGCGGGGGAGAACUAUUGGAAACGAUAGCUAAUACCGCAUAACAGUAGAUAUCGCAUGAUAUUCACUAGAAAGGUGCAAUUGUAUCACUACCAGAUGGACCUGCGUUGGAUUAUCUAGUUGGUGAGGUAACGGCGCACCAACGCGACGAUACAUAGCCGAACCGGGAGGGUGAACGGCCACACUGGGACUGGGACACGGGCCAGACUCCCACGGGAGGGAGCAGUAGGGGAACUUCGGCAAUGGACGGAAGUCUGGACGAGCAACGCCGCGUGGGUGGAGAAGGGUCUCGGAUCGUAAAGAUCCGUUGUAAGGGAAGAAAGAGUGUGAGAGUGGAAAGUUCACACUGUGACGGUAUCUAAUCAGAAAGCGACGGCUAACUACGUG